CCUACGGGAGGCAGCAGUGAGGAAUAUUGGUCAAUGGCCGCAGGGCUGAACCAGCCAAGUCGCGUGAGGGAUGACGGUCCUAUGGAUUGUAAACCUCUUUUGUCAGGGAGCAAAGGGCGCCACGUGUGGCGUUUCGCGAGUACCUGAAGAAAAAGCAUCGGCUAACUCCGUGCCAGCAGCCGCGGUAAUACGGAGGAUGCGAGCGUUAUCCGGAUUUAUUGGGUUUAAAGGGUGCGCAGGCGGAAUGUCAAGUCAGCGGUAAAAUCUCGGGGCUCAACCCCGUCGUGCCGUUGAAACUGGCGUUCUUGAGUGAGCGAGAAGUAUGCGGAAUGCGUGGUGUAGCGGUGAAAUGCAUCGAUAUCACGCAGAACUCCGAUUGCGAAGGCAGCAUACCGGCGCUCAACUGACGCUCAUGCACGAAAGCGUGGGUAUCGAACAGGAUUAGAUACCCCGGUAGUC
RNAcentral lists this ribosomal RNA (459 nucleotides) under uncultured bacterium. Its description in RNAcentral is "partial 16S ribosomal RNA". It matches the Rfam family "Bacterial small subunit ribosomal RNA", at positions 338 to 795 of the family's 1533-position model. The record is from RNAcentral.